This 1396-nucleotide long non-coding RNA is filed under the name Sparus aurata (gilthead seabream). Its description in RNAcentral is "lncRNA (ENSSAUG00010018979.1)". The record is from RNAcentral. Lineage: Eukaryota; Metazoa; Chordata; Actinopteri; Spariformes; Sparidae.
AAAAGCAACAGGUGUAACCAAUGAUGGGUUUGAUCCAUUUAGACUGCCAGGAAGCUACAUCAGCAAGCCAACGCACACAAUGCCAGAGCCUGUCACGGAAAUGGAAAACAGCUGCCAUCAGUGUUACGUCUUGGUUACACCAGCAUUUGUUUGUCUCAGGAUAAAUGUCCACACACACACACCUGAAAUGACAAAAAAUAAAGAUAUUCUAAUAUAUUAAUAUAUUUUCACAAUCCUGUUUUGGGAACUGCCAAGAUGGCAAAAGAUGUGGCUGCGUCUUUGAUAAUAAGACACCACAAACACACAACACACAGGACCACAGUGCUGCAUGUGGUCUGUGGGCUGGUGAUGAUUUAAGGGUGUAAUACCACUCCCGUCCUGCAGGUGUCGCUGCAGGCGGAUACAAUGUAAACAUUACGGAGCGGCGGCUAAGUGACAGCGGCUAACGUCGGUGGAAAUCCUGGAUGUUGUCUUUCAAAGAGCCCAUGGGGACCAUUAAAUAGUUUCCUGCUGUGUUGUGUUAAUACAUAUUGCUAUUAACUUUUAGAUUAUAGCCAUCAAAAAGCAGUAUUAGUAUCACUGCGCUUCUGUUCAGGGACCGAGCUAACUAGCUAGCUAGCUUAGCUUCAGCGGAGGGAUGAACUCUCUGGUCGGCUACGGAGUGUCGUCGGAGUCUGACAGCGAUGGAGAUGCCGAGGAUGUAAACAACGGUGGAGUUAGUUCUGUGAAGGAGCUGAGUGAUGAGACUCCAGGUGACAAAAGGACCCGCAACUUCUUGCUGGAGACUGGUUCAGCUUCCAGUGAGUCAGAACCAGAGGAAGAUGACCCAGAGCCCUCCUCAUCACCACCACCACCACAUCCCCACAUACCAGCAUCCUCUGCAGCCCGCCAGUCCACCCUGCCUCCUCCUUCCCUGGGCUCCCUCAACCCCAACAAACUACCUCCUCCUUCUCUGAACACCUGCUCUGACAGCAGUGUGUUUGCCAACCCCUUCAAGGCUCAGGCAGACCAGAAGCUCAGCGCCUUGCAGAAACACGUCCCCCUCACACUGCAGGCCCAACCCUCCCAGAUAGGGGGUAAAAGGAUGUGUGUGUCGUACAGGAAGGAUGGAAGGUGCAGGUUUGGGAUCAAGUGCAAGUUUGCUCAUGACAGUGACCUCCAGACCCCUGUGACCCCCACUGACUGUCAUCCAGCUGUGAGCGAAGACCUGUCAGAUCCAGAUGAGUCCCAUGCAGGUGGCUCAUGUGUCGGAGGACAGGAGACGAAAGAGGAAGAGUCAGGAGGGCAGCAAGCGAAGAAGAGGAGGGUCGGACUGAGUAACACCUUAAUACCCCCUAAACGAGCUAUGAAGCAGUUUUCCAUGCAGAGGGACAGAGAGCGGGUCAAUAUGUCCUGA